GAAGUAAAAGUCGUAACAAGGUCUCCGUUGGUGAACCAGCGGAGGGAUCAUUACUGAGUUACCGCUCUAUAACCCUUUGUGAACAUACCUACAACUGUUGCUUCGGCGGGUAGGCCGUCCCCUGAAAAGGACGCCUCCCGGCCCGGACCGGACCCCCCGCGGGACCGGACCCGGCGCCCGCCGGAGGAUAACCAAACUCUAUUGUAACGACGUUUCUUCUGAGUGGCAUAAGCAAAAUAAUCAAAACUUUUAACAACGGAUCUCUUGGUUCUGGCAUCGAUGAAGAACGCAGCGAAAUGCGAUAAGUAAUGUGAAUUGCAGAAUUCAGUGAAUCAUCGAAUCUUUGAACGCACAUUGCGCCCGCCAGCAUUCUGGCGGGCAUGCCUGUUCGAGCGUCAUUUCAACCCUCAAGCUCUGCUUGGUGUUGGGGCUCUACGGUCGACGUAGGCCCUCAAAGGUAGUGGCGGACCCUCCCGGAGCCUCCUUUGCGUAGUAACAUUUCGUCUCGCACUGGGAUCCGGAGGGACUCUUGCCGUAAAACCCCCCAAUUUUCCAAAGGUUGACCUCGGAUCAGGUAGGAAUACCCGCUGAACUUAA
Molecule: ribosomal RNA, 597 nt
Filed under: Colletotrichum boninense
Lineage: Eukaryota; Fungi; Ascomycota; Sordariomycetes; Glomerellales; Glomerellaceae
Description: eukaryotic LSU rRNA
Rfam family: 5.8S ribosomal RNA (bases 245-398)
Source: RNAcentral